Molecule: non-coding RNA, 207 nt
Organism: Biomphalaria pfeifferi
Lineage: Eukaryota; Metazoa; Mollusca; Gastropoda; Planorbidae
Source: the annotation of a GenBank genome assembly
GGCUUCCUGUAACAAUUGUGAGUUAAUCGCUUCUUUGAAAUUAAGAAUAGGAUUAAAAAAAAAUAGGAUAAUAAAAAUUCUUUAUUACAUGAGAUUGUAUAAUUGUUUCCGAGGAAACAGCAUUUCGUGUUUUUAUAUGGAUGAAAUCUUUUCAUCUUCAAUACUUUUUACCCACAACAAAUUCUAAAGCAAAAGGAGGCGUUUUUU